GGGGAAUAUUGCACAAUGGGGGAAACCCUGAUGCAGCCAUGCCGCGUGUGUGAAGAAGGCCUUCGGGUUGUAAAGCACUUUCAGCGAGGAGGAAAGGUUGGUAGCUAAUAACUGCCAACUGUGACGUUACUCGCAGAAGAAGCACCGGCUAACUCCGUGCCAGCAGCCGCGGUAAUACGGAGGGUGCGAGCGUUAAUCGGAAUUACUGGGCGUAAAGCGCACGCAGGCGGUUGGAUAAGUUAGAUGUGAAAGCCCCGGGCUCAACCUGGGAAUUGCAUUUAAAACUGUCCAGCUAGAGUCUUGUAGAGGGGGGUAGAAUUCCAGGUGUAGCGGUGAAAUGCGUAGAGAUCUGGAGGAAUACCGGUGGCGAAGGCGGCCCCCUGGACAAAGACUGACGCUCAGGUGCGAAAGCGUGGGGAGCAAA
RNAcentral lists this ribosomal RNA (424 nucleotides) under uncultured bacterium. Its description in RNAcentral is "bacterial SSU rRNA". It matches the Rfam family "Bacterial small subunit ribosomal RNA", at positions 356 to 772 of the family's 1533-position model. The record is from RNAcentral.